This 500-nucleotide ribosomal RNA is filed under the name uncultured Glomus. Its description in RNAcentral is "SSU rRNA". It matches the Rfam family "Eukaryotic small subunit ribosomal RNA", at positions 569 to 1075 of the family's 1831-position model. Lineage: Eukaryota; Fungi; Glomeromycota; Glomeromycetes; Glomerales; Glomeraceae. The record is from RNAcentral.
AGCAGCCGCGGUAAUUCCAGCUCCAAUAGCGUAUAUUAAAGUUGUUGCAGUUAAAAAGCUCGUAGUUGAAUUUCGGGGUUAGCAGGUCGGUCGUGCCAUCGGUAUGAACUGGUCUCGCUGAUCCCUCCCUCUUGACGAACUGUGAUGCCAUUAAUUUGGUGUCGCAGGGAAUCAGGACUGUUACUUUGAAAAAUUAGAGUGUUUAAAGCAGGCUCACGCUUGAAUACAUUAGCAUGGAAUAAUGAAAUAGGACGUUUGAUCCUAUUUUGUUGGCUUCUAGGAUUGACGUAAUGAUUAAUAGGGAUAGUUGGGGCAUUAGUAUUCAAUUGUCAGAGGUGAAAUUCUUGGAUUUAUUGAAGACUAACUACUGCGAAAGCAUUUGCCAAGGAUGUUUUCAUUAAUCAAGAAUGAAAGUUAGGGGAUCGAAGACGAUCAGAUACCGUCGUAGUCUUAACCAUAAACUAUGCCGACUAGGGAUCGGAUGAUGUUAAUUUUUAAUG